RNAcentral lists this ribosomal RNA (444 nucleotides) under uncultured bacterium. RNAcentral describes it as "partial 16S ribosomal RNA". It matches the Rfam family "Bacterial small subunit ribosomal RNA", at positions 339 to 795 of the family's 1533-position model. The record is from RNAcentral.
CUACGGGGUGCUCCAGUGGGGAAUAUUGGGCAAUGGAGGAAACUCUGACCCAGCGACGCCGCGUGAGGGACGAAGGCCUUCGGGUUGUAAACCUCUUUCAGCAGGGAAUAAGCGAAAGUGAAGGUACCUGCAGAAGAAGCACCGGCUAACUAUGUGCCAGCAGCCGCGGUAAUACAUAGGGUGCAAGCGUUGUCCGGAAUUAUUGGGCGUAAAGAGCUCGUAGGUGGUCGAUCACGUCGGAUGUGAAAAUCUGAGGCUUAACCUCAGACCUGCACUCGAUACGGGUUGACUAGAGUGUGGUAGGGGAGACUGGAAUUCCUGGUGUAGCGGUGGAAUGCGCAGAUAUCAGGAGGAACACCGAUGGCGAAGGCAGGUCUCUGGGCCAUUACUGACACUGAGGAGCGAAAGCGUGGGGAGCGAACAGGAUUAGAUACCCCAGUAGUC